UAGUUUUAAGACAUUUAUUACUGAUGAUAACACAACUUUUCCACAAUGUUCAAAACUGACCAUAUAGUGCAAACUAAUUGAUUGGAAGACUGCAUACCUGCAUACCCAGUGAUGUAAAAUACUUUAAAGUACUACCUACAUAGUUUUUUCUUUGGUAUCUGUACUUUACUAUUUAUGUAUAUUUUUGACAAUGUAUACUUUUACUUUACUACAUUCCUAAAGAAAAUCAUGUACUUUUUACUCCAUACAUUUUCCCCGACACUCAAAAGUACUCAUUACAUUUUGAAUGCUUAGCAGUACAGGAAAAUGGUCCAAGUCACGCAUUUAUCAAGACAACGUUCCUGGUCAUAUGUACUGCCUCUGAUCUGGCAGACCAACUAAACAAAAAUACUUUGUUUGUAAAUUACGUCUGAGUGUAAGAGGGCGCUCCUGGCUAUCUGUAAAACAAAUAUGUAAUAAAAAUAUGAGUGCCGUCUGGUUUGCUUUAUAAAAGGAAUUUGAAAUGAUUUAUACUUUUACUUUUGAUACUUAAGUACAUUUUUGAGAUUACAUUGACUUUUGAUACUUAAGUAUAUUUAAAACCAAAUACUUUUAGACUUUUACUCAAGUAGGAUUUUACUGGGUGACUCACUUUUACUUGAGUCCUUUCAUAUUAAGGUAUCUUUACUUUUACUCAAGUAUGACAAUUGGGUACCUUACACAUACCUCAGCUACAUAGUCUACAGAACCAGUGGCCACAGGGAAAGGGUUGUCGUAGACUCACACAAGAGACAGUCAGGGUGGGCUAUCCAAAGGGUAAAGCUGACACACAGGUACAACACACACAUAAGACAUUCCCUCCACAAAACCCUGCUCUCUUCUUUGCACAACAUCUCUUUAAAAUAGUAUUGAGACAGUGACAUAUUUUUGGUUUGUUUUGGCUCUGUACCCCAGCACUUUGGAUUUUAAAUUAUAUCAUGACUGUGAGGUUGACGUGCAGAGUGUCAUAUUUAAUUUGAGGAUAUUUUUAUCCAAAUCGGGUGAACCAUUUAGAAAUUACAGCACUUUUUCUACAUAGUUCCCCCAUUUUAAGGCACCAAAAGUAUUACGACAAAUGUACUUGUAUGUGUAUGAAAGUAGUAAAAAGUUAAGUAUUUGGUCCCAUAGUCAUCGCACACAAUGACCACAUCAAGCUUGUGACUCUACACAUUUAUUGAAUGCAUUUGCUGUUUGUUUUGGUUGUGUUUCAGAUUAUUUUGUGCCCAAUACAUAGGAAUGGUAAAUAAUGAAUUGUGUCUGUAACUUUCUCAUUCAUCAUUAUUCACGAUUCAUUCAGGAUUAUCCGUAAUCAUGGUAGCAUCCACAUUAAUGCAGAAAUGUUUAGAAACAUAUUUUAUUCUUAUUUUACAAUUAAAGUGACUCCAAAAUGACACGAUACAUUAUUGACCAUUCAUUUAUAUUGGGCACAAUAUAAUCUGAAACACAACCAAAACAAACAACAAAUGCAUUCAACAAAUUUGCAGUCACAAGCUUGAUGUAGUCAUUGCGUGCGAUGAAUAUGGGACCAAAUACUUAACUUUCUACUACUUUAAUACACAUAAGUGCAUUUGUCCAAAUGGGGGGACUAUUUACAAAAAGUGCUGUCAUUUCUAAACGGUUCACCCGAUAUGGAUGAAAAUAACCUCAAAUUAAAGCUGACAGUCAGCACUUUAACAUCAUAGUCAUUGAAUAAUUUUAAAUCCAAAGUGUACAGAGCCAAAACAACAAGUUUCACUGCCCCAAUACAAAUGGAACACACUGUAUUAAUAUAAUAUGAAUGCAUCAUCACUGACACAGCUCCGGUGCAUAGCUUAGACUUAAACAAAAGUGUGGUAUGUAAGUAUGCCUGCAUGCACUGACACAACUCCGGUGCAUAGCUUAGACUUAAACAAAAGUUGUGGUAUGUAAGUAUGCCUGCAUGCACUGACACAACUCCGGUGCAUAGCUUAGACUUAAACAAAAGUAUGGUAUGUAAGUAUGCCUGCAUGCACUGACACAACUCCGGUGCAUAGCUUAGACUUAAACAAAAGUAUGGUAUGUAAGUAUGCCUGCAUGCACUGACACAACUCCGGUGCAUAGCUUAGACUUAAACAAAAGUGUGGUAUGUAAGUAUGCCUGCAUGCACUGACACAAGCACGCUCGUGCUGGAACACUCAAAACGUACAGUACUCUUACUUGUUAGGAGGCAUAUUUGUCACUAAACAAACCAUCUAAGGGCCUUUGAGCAUUUGACCAUAUCCUCUGACAAGCCACUCUGAAGAUGGGGAGCAUGCAUAAAAAUAUAAAUACAUCUCAAAGAAUGUAUGUAAUUCUAAACAAAUUAGCAAUGCAUAUUGUGGGAUUUGAAGUGAUGUGAGUUGUGUCCGUGUCAGAGUCAUGCCAGAGCAUAGCAGGCCAGCUGAGUCAACAUCGCACCACCUCUACUGAUCCUCCACUGGAACACUUUAGACAGCUACUCAGACGUCCUGCUCUCUAUUGUUUAUGCAGUGAAAACAGGUGUUAGCUGGCUGCCAGCAUAACUGUAAAACAAUUAAUGGAGCUAUAAAGCGCAGUAUAAAAAAUUAACAUAAACUUCAGUAUUCCGGAGUAGAGGAAAAGUCAGAGACGCACAAUUAUAGUACAUUAUUAAAAACGCUUUAGUAGUAUCCCAGCAUAAUUGAACUUCAGUUUCUGUACUGUCAUGGCUGCUCUCUGUUGGACAAAUAGUAGAACUGCGACUGAACAAACCAAGGCAAAACAAAUCUAAAAUUUUAUGGGUGAGAAUAUGAUAUAUGGGACUUUUGUAAGAAGUUUUCAAAAUGCAACAUUUUGUUUAAUUUCCUAUGUUUAGCUACAUUUAAUAAGAUAAAAACACAGGAAAUUGAUGCCAGUAUCAGAUACUGCAUACUGCUAGAUAAGCAAAUAAUAGAACAGUAAAACAAAAUAGAAAUUACAAUCAAAAUCUGCAUAUGCAAAAAAAAA
Oncorhynchus tshawytscha (Chinook salmon) is the source of this 2979-nucleotide long non-coding RNA. Lineage: Eukaryota; Metazoa; Chordata; Actinopteri; Salmoniformes; Salmonidae. The record is from Ensembl.